This 876-nucleotide ribosomal RNA is filed under the name uncultured organism. Its description in RNAcentral is "bacterial SSU rRNA". It matches the Rfam family "Bacterial small subunit ribosomal RNA", at positions 469 to 1339 of the family's 1533-position model. The record is from RNAcentral.
UUGACGGUACCCUACUAGAAAGGAGCCGCUAACCUCGUGCCAGAAGCGUCGGUAAUACGGGGGCUCCAAGCGUUAUCCGGUGUUAUUGGGCGUAAAGAGUCGUGUAGGUGGUUGGGUAAGUUAUCUUUCAAAUAUCUUUGCUUAACAAAGAGGAGGGGGAUAAUACUGCUCGACUAGAAUUUUCUCAAGGGAGAUCGGAACUGAGGGAGGAGUAGUGAAAUGCGUUGAUACCCUCGGGAACACCAGUGGCGUAGGCGGAUCUCUGGGAGAAGAUUGACACUGAGACACGAAAGCUAGGGGAGCGAAGCAGAUUAGAGACCUGCGUAGUCCUAGCCGUAAACGCAUGCUUGCUAGCUGCAUGAAUCUACCUUCGGGUGGUAUCGUGUGGCGAAGGUAACCCGUUAAGCAAGCCGGCUGGAAAGUACCGGCGCAAGGGUGAAAUUCCCAGGAAUUGGGGGGGGAGGCCCACAACCAUUUGGAACAUGUGGUUUAAUUUCGAGACUAACCGAAGAACCUCACCAGGGUUUGACAUGUAGCUGCACGUCUUAAGAAAUUAAGACUCUCUUGAAGGUGCUACACAGGUGCUGCAUGGCUGUCGUCAGCUCGUUCCGUGAGGGAGUGCCCUUAAGUGGGACAACGAGCGCAACCCCUAUUACAUGUUAGAUAUGUCAUGUAAGACUGCCUUGCCAUUUGGCGGGGAGGAAGGAGGGGCAGACGUCAAGUCCGCAUGGUCCUUAUGCCCUGGGCUACACACAUGUUACAAUGAGUACGGCAAUGAGUCUGUCGCGAGCACGUAAGUGUAAGCUAAUCUCUUANAUGUACUCUCAGUGGGGAUUGAGGUCUGCAACUCGACCUCAUGAACACGGAAUUGGUAGU